UACGAAGGGGGCUAGCGUUGCUCGGAAUCACUGGGCGUAAAGGGUGCGUAGGCGGGUUUUUAAGUCAGGGGUGAAAUCCUGGAGCUCAACUCCAGAACUGCCUUUGAUACUGAAGAUCUCGAGUCCGGGAGAGGUGAGUGGAACUGCGAGUGUAGAGCUGAAAUUCGUAGAUAUUCGCAAGAACACCAGUGGCGAAGGCGGCUCACUGGCCCGGUACUGACGCUGAGGCGCGAAAGCGUGGGGAGCAAACAGG
RNAcentral lists this ribosomal RNA (253 nucleotides) under uncultured bacterium. Its description in RNAcentral is "partial 16S ribosomal RNA". It matches the Rfam family "Bacterial small subunit ribosomal RNA", at positions 524 to 776 of the family's 1533-position model. The record is from RNAcentral.